GGGGACGGCCAUAGCUCAGUAGUAAAGCACCUGUUUUGCAUGCAGAAGGUCCCAGUUUCAAUCCCUGGCAUCUCCA
This is a non-coding RNA of Podarcis lilfordi (Lilford's wall lizard), 76 nucleotides long. Lineage: Eukaryota; Metazoa; Chordata; Lepidosauria; Squamata; Lacertidae. The record is from the annotation of a GenBank genome assembly.